RNAcentral lists this long non-coding RNA (238 nucleotides) under Medicago truncatula (barrel medic). RNAcentral's name for it is "lncRNA gene45596". The record is from RNAcentral. Lineage: Eukaryota; Viridiplantae; Streptophyta; Magnoliopsida; Fabales; Fabaceae.
CUUUAGGUUGUGGUCUCUUUUUCAAAUCGUCGAUCCUUGUGUCGAGGUCUGCAAAGCAACAUUCAGAGUAGAGAACGAUUCUAUCUAAGAUUGCUAUGUCAGAAAAAAUUCAGAGCAAGGUGCACCUUAGCCUAAACUUCUCCUACCAUAAAGACAUUUUUCACCUCAAAGUUAGCCAUUGAAGUUAUAAUAAGCAAUGUGAGUCAUCAUGCCUAGUAGUGAUCUGCAUACAAAUUAG